AAUUCUGGCAGGAGUGGCAGCUAGCCUGAACUUGGUACAAACGAUUUUAAUAUUCUUUUUCUCUGGACCGAGCCAUGAAUUAAAGAAGAUUUCCUGCUGGGUACUCAAAGUGGUUGCAUUCAUAAACUUUUGUUUUACAAUUGCUGCAGUAUAUGUUGGUCUUGGGGAGCAUUGCACCAAAACCCCUUGCAUCUGGCCCUCCAUAUUGAUGGGAAUUUAUUUAGUAUGCCAACUGCUGUCAUGUCCAUUUUUUUUGUAUGUGGAACUAAACCAAAA
Long non-coding RNA from Neoarius graeffei (lesser salmon catfish), 276 nucleotides. RefSeq lists it as uncharacterized. Lineage: Eukaryota; Metazoa; Chordata; Actinopteri; Siluriformes; Ariidae. The record is from RefSeq and is a predicted model, not a curated record. The transcript has 3 exons.